UGCAGUCGACGGUGACGACCAGCUUGCUGGUCUGAUCAGUGGCGAACGGGUGAGUAACACGUGAGCAACCUGCCCUUCACUCUGGGAUAACCACGGGAAACGGUGGCUAAUACCGGAUACGAGACGUACCUGCAUGGGUGGCGUCUGGAAAGAUUUAUCGGUGAAGGAUGGGCUCGCGGCCUAUCAGCUUGUUGGUGGGGUAAUGGCCUACCAAGGCGACGACGGGUAGCCGGCCUGAGAGGGCGACCGGCCACACUGGGACUGAGACACGGCCCAGACUCCUACGGGAGGCAGCAGUGGGGAAUAUUGCACAAUGGGCGCAAGCCUGAUGCAGCGACGCCGCGUGAGGGAUGACGGCCUUCGGGUUGUAAACCUCUUUCAGCAGGGAAGAAGCGAAAGUGACGGUACCUGCAGAAGAAGCGCCGGCUAACUACGUGCCAGCAGCCGCGGUAAUACGUAGGGCGCAAGCGUUGUCCGGAAUUAUUGGGCGUAAAGAGCUCGUAGGCGGUUUGUCGCGUCUGCUGUGAAAACCUGAGGCUCAACCUCGGGCUUGCAGUGGGUACGGGCAGACUAGAGUGCGGUAGGGGUGACUGGAAUUCCUGGUGUAGCGGUGGAAUGCGCAGAUAUCAGGAGGAACACCGAUGGCGAAGGCAGGUCACUGGGCCGCAACUGACGCUGAGGAGCGAAAGCAUGGGGAGCGAACAGGAUUAGAUACCCUGGUAGUCCAUGCCGUAAACGUUGGGCACUAGGUGUGGGGCUCAUUCCACGAGUUCCGUGCCGCAGCAAACGCAUUAAGUGCCCCGCCUGGGGAGUACGGCCGCAAGGCUAAAACUCAAAGAAAUUGACGGGGGCCCGCACAAGCGGCGGAGCAUGCGGAUUAAUUCGAUGCAACGCGAAGAACCUUACCAAGGCUUGACAUACACCGGAAACUUCCAGAGAUGGUUGCCCCGCAAGGUCGGUGUACAGGUGGUGCAUGGUUGUCGUCAGCUC
This 990-nucleotide ribosomal RNA is filed under the name Cellulomonas sp. Its description in RNAcentral is "bacterial SSU rRNA". It matches the Rfam family "Bacterial small subunit ribosomal RNA", at positions 56 to 1061 of the family's 1533-position model. Lineage: Bacteria; Bacillati; Actinomycetota; Actinomycetes; Micrococcales; Cellulomonadaceae. The record is from RNAcentral.